Molecule: ribosomal RNA, 1885 nt
Filed under: Ogeria sp. 2 AK-2020
Lineage: Eukaryota; Metazoa; Arthropoda; Insecta; Hemiptera; Schizopteridae
Description: partial large subunit ribosomal RNA
Rfam family: Eukaryotic large subunit ribosomal RNA
Source: RNAcentral
AGUGCAACCUUAAGUGGGUGGUAAGCUCCAUCUAAGGCUAAAUAUGACCACGAGACCGAUAGCAAACAAGUACCGUGAGGGAAAGUUGAAAAGAACUUUGAAGAGAGAGUUCAAAAGUACGUGAAACCGUUUAGGGGUAAACGAAAAAGAACUGAAAAACCGAAAAGGGAGAUUCACGUCUUCUCGUUUGUUAAUCAUUGUAAUUAUCAAGAUAACUAAUGAACUGUACCACGUUUGUAUUAGUUUGUUAAUUGCUUGAUUUUUAUUUGAGUAGCAGCGGUAGACCGCACUUCUCUCCAAGUAGGACGCCGCGACCCGCUGUCUUAUAAUUUAAGUUCAAACUGUUAGUCUUGUUGUGGCUAAAAUUAUUAGUUAUAACAAAAGGUUUGCUACUAAUUAAAUAGACUGCGGUAAAAAACGAUAGUGUUGAGUCGCUUAAACAAGCGUUUAACAGACUUUUAUUUUUUAAUAAUGGUAAAUUAGGAUUUGUACCCUUUUUUAUUAUUUUAAUUAUAAAAGUUUUGGUUAAACUGGCUCACAACACUAGUCGGCGGCGCUACAGUUUCAGUAACUUUUCCGACCCGUCGAAACACCCAAGGAGUCUAACAUGUGCGCAAGUCAUUAGGUAAUUAAACCUAAAGGCAUAACAAAAGUAAAAAAGCUUUGCUUUAUUAGGGAAGAUAGUUAUUACAAUAGUAGUAACUCGCACUCCCGGGGUGUCUAUUACUCAUUGCGAGUAAAGGCACACCUAGAGCGUACACGUUGGGACCCGAAAGAUGGUGAACUAUGCUUGGCCAGGAUGAAGCCAGGGGAAACCCUGGUGGAAGUCCGUAGCGAUUCUGACGUGCAAAUCGAUCGUCAGAGCUAGGUAUAGGGGCGAAAGACUUAUCGAACCAUCUAGUAGCUGGUUCCCUCCGAAGUUUCCCUCAGGAUAGCUGGUGCUAAUGAAACUUGAGUCUCAUCUGAUAAAGCGAAUGAUUAGAGGCAUUGGGGCCGAAACGACCUCAACCUAUUCUCAAACUUUAAAUUGAUGAGAGCCUUGGUUUGCUCAAAAAAUGAAGCCAGGGAUUAGGAUCAAAGUGCCAAGUGGGCCAAUUUUGGUAAUGUGGGAUGAACCAAACGUAAAGUUAAGGCGCCCGAAUCAACGCUCAUGAGACACCAUAAAAGGCGUUGGUUGCUUAAGACAGCAGGACGGUGGCCAUGGAAGUCGGAAUCCGCUAAGGAGUGUGUAACAACUCACCUGCCGAAGCAACUAGCCCUGAAAAUGGAUGGCGCUGGAGCGUUGUGCCUAUACUUUACCGUCAACAGCAAAUAAGGUGCACAUAAUUUUUUAUGUUGUGCUAUUAAGCUUUGACGAGUAGGAGGGUCGUUGCGAUGAGCGCAGAAGGGUUUAGGUGUAAACCUGCCUGGAGCCGUCGCUAGUGCAGAUCUUGGUGGUAGUAGCAAAUACUCCAGCGAGAUCCUGGAGGACUGUCGUGGAGAAGGGUUUCUUGUGAACAGCUGUUGCACAAGAGUCAGUCGAUCCUAAACUCUAGGAGAAAUCUCAUGUUGAUGAGUGCCAUUAAUCUAUAUAUUGGCAUUCAAUGAGUGAAAGGGAAUCCGGUUCCUAUUCCGGAACCUGAUAGCGGAACCGUUUUAAAUCGAGCCUUCAUGUGACUCGUCGGGGUAACCCAAAAAGACCCGGAGACGCCGUUGGAAGGUUUGGAGAGAGUUGUCUCUUCUUUAUAAGCGUUCGAGUUCCCUGGAAUCCUUCAGCAGGGAGAUAGGGUUUGGAACGCGAAGAGCACCGCAGUUACGGCGGUGUCCAAAUCUUUCCUUCGGACCUUGAAAAUCCGGGAGAGGGCAACGAGGAACACCGCAUCAGAUCGUACCCAUAUCCGCAGCA